This 365-nucleotide ribosomal RNA is filed under the name uncultured bacterium. RNAcentral describes it as "bacterial SSU rRNA". It matches the Rfam family "Bacterial small subunit ribosomal RNA", at positions 527 to 896 of the family's 1533-position model. The record is from RNAcentral. RNAcentral also lists the same sequence under 1 other name.
GGAGGAUCCAAGCGUUAUCCGGAAUCAUUGGGUUUAAAGGGUCCGUAGGCGGUUUAGUAAGUCAGUGGUGAAAGCCCAUCGCUCAACGGUGGAACGGCCAUUGAUACUGCUAGACUUGAAUUAUUAGGAAGUAACUAGAAUAUGUAGUGUAGCGGUGAAAUGCUUAGAGAUUACAUGGAAUACCAAUUGCGAAGGCAGGUUACUACUAAUGGAUUGACGCUGAUGGACGAAAGCGUGGGUAGCGAACAGGAUUAGAUACCCUGGUAGUCCACGCCGUAAACGAUGGAUACUAGCUGUUGGGAGCGAUCUCAGUGGCUAAGCGAAAGUGAUAAGUAUCCCACCUGGGGAGUACGUUCGCAAGAAUG